GGAGCCGGUAGUGUAAAGGUUAGCAUAUCACAUUGUCAGUGUGAAGGCGGGGUUCGAAUCCCACCGGUUCCG
This 72-nucleotide transfer RNA is filed under the name Candidatus Aminicenantota bacterium. Its description in RNAcentral is "Candidatus Aminicenantes bacterium tRNA-Asp". It matches the Rfam family "tRNA". Rfam says of the family: Transfer RNA (tRNA) molecules are approximately 80 nucleotides in length. The record is from RNAcentral. Lineage: Bacteria; Candidatus Aminicenantota.